RNAcentral lists this ribosomal RNA (483 nucleotides) under uncultured bacterium. RNAcentral's name for it is "partial 16S ribosomal RNA". It matches the Rfam family "Bacterial small subunit ribosomal RNA", at positions 28 to 507 of the family's 1533-position model. The record is from RNAcentral.
GACGAACGCUGGCGGCGUGCUUAACACAUGCAGGUCGAACGCUGAAGCUCAGCUUUUGUUGGGUGGAUGAGUGGCGAACGGGUGAGUAACACGUGAGUAACCUGCCCCCUUCUUUGGGAUAACGCCCGGAAACGGGUGCUAAUACUGGAUAUUCACUGGUCUUCGCAUGGGGGGUGGUGGAAAGGGUUUUUCUGGUGGGGGAUGGGCCCGCGGCCUAUCAGCUUGUUGGUGGGGUGAUGGCCUACCAAGGCUUUGACGGGUAGCCGGCCUGAGAGGGUGACCGGUCACAUUGGGACUGAGAUACGGCCCAGACUCCUACGGGAGGCAGCAGUGGGGAAUAUUGCACAAUGGGCGCAAGCCUGAUGCAGCGACGCCGCGUGAGGGAUGGAGGCCUUCGGGUUGUGAACCUCUUUCGCUCAUGGUCAAGCCGCAACAAUGGUUGUGGUGAGGGUAGUGGGUAAAGAAGCGCCGGCUAACUACGUG